GGAUCAUCGCCCGGAUUUGGGCACAGGUGCCUGUGUGUGUCUGGGCCUCCUGGCUCCCUUUCAAGGGCUGCCUCCUGAGCACAGACUGGGGCAUCUGCCUGCAGACGCACUGACACAGGUUCAGAGAGCUGCAGAGAAAGCCUCAGCACUGGAAACAUGGUCGUGCUCCCGCGCUGUAUCUCGGAGAUCAUUCACCCUUCAUCUGACACUCGGGUGGACAAUUGUCUUCAGAAAGGAAAGACAAGUCAGUGGUUAUUGUGCAGGAAAACUGUGCACCAAAAGAGAGAGAAAGGUUGGUCCUCACACAGCUGGCGGUAUUGUCUUCUGUGCAUACAGAUAUGGGGAGUGUUCAUGUUUAACGUCUCAGCAAGACAAGAGUCAGACGGGCUGUGCGUUCCAAUUCUCCUUUCAGAUGGCAGUUUUCCUGUGUGGAGUCUGGGCCUUGUGUGCACAUGGAGCAGCGGUACUGCCCAUGCCUGCUGCCUGGAGCUCCACGGGCAGAGGGACAGGGCACCCUGCCUGCCCCAAGAUUAAUUAUCCUCCAUGGAGCAGGAAAUCCCACCGCCUUUCAACAGCCAGGAACAGCAGCUGCUAAACAGAAUUCACUGCAGGACAGUCUGCUUCCCUCCCAGGCAUUUGCACGGGGCCUUCCCAGUCAGAAGGCUGGGCAGGAGCUUGUGCAGAGAGAGCUGGAAUUCUGGGAAAACACGUUCCAUCACCAUGGCUGAUUCGGAGUAAAAGACACAUUAACUAAGAAGCUCAGUCUGCAACCCCGUGUGCAAGAAAGUAACUUUGAAAUCGUCUUUCUAUAAUGGAAAUGCACUUCCGUUUCUUUCUCCCAUCUGCGUCCUUGGUGGAGAGGUCAUCCCAGCCAGGUCAGGGUCUCCUGGAAAAGGUCAGUCUUUUCCCUGGUGUUCUAAGUUCUGCAAGGGUAAAGUGAGCAUUUUUAAAAUACAUAUGUUUGGCAAAUUUGCAGACAUAUGAAUGUGAGCGGGAUCAGAAAUCCCACCUCCUCCCCUUGCACCCAGGUGUGUGUGGAGCUGGCGGCAGCUGCAGCGAGGGCUGAUUCCUCACCGGCUGGCUCUGUGCAUCCUCCCAGCCCUGGUCCCCAGCCCUCCCGAGGACAGUUCCGCACACUCCCUGAGACCCUUUACAGGAGCUCAUGUUGACCUAAUCAGCCAAUGUCAUCGUUUGUUCUUAAGGUAAGGGCUUUGACACAUGCGUGGGGGCCGUAUGAUGCCGUGACAUUGUCUGGGAG
Pan paniscus (pygmy chimpanzee) is the source of this 1258-nucleotide long non-coding RNA. NCBI's taxonomy places the organism in Eukaryota, Metazoa, Chordata, Mammalia, Primates, Hominidae. The record is from Ensembl.